RNAcentral lists this small RNA (543 nucleotides) under Pongo abelii (Sumatran orangutan). Its description in RNAcentral is "processed transcript". Lineage: Eukaryota; Metazoa; Chordata; Mammalia; Primates; Hominidae. The record is from RNAcentral.
GAUCUCCUAGAACUUGCUUGCAUGUGUAAGACUGUGGUUUGCUGCAGGGUCACUCCACUCCAGAAAGCCCAAGUGGUAGAGCUGGUGAAGAAGUACAGAAAUGCUGUUACUUUGGCCAUUGGUGAUGGAGCCAAUGAUGUCAGCAUGAUUAAAAGUGCUCACAUUGGUGUUGGCAUCAGCGGCCAGGAAGGAUUACAAGCAGUCUUAGCCAGCGACUAUUCAUUUGCACAGUUUAGAUAUCUCCAGAGGCUUCUCCUUGUUCAUGGAAGGUGGUCUUAUUUCCGAAUGUGCAAAUUCUUAUGCUAUUUCUUCUAUAAGAAUUUUGCGUUCACACUUGUGCAUUUCUGGUUUGGUUUCUUCUGUGGUUUCUCAGCCCAGGAUCCAACAUAUUGAAGCAGAUGAGAAGUAAGAGGAUGGACAUCCCAGCAGAGGAGACAACAGGAGGAAAGUUCCAGAAGUGAAGAAUAGCUUGGGCAGGAACACAAGCCAUCAGUCAGAUGCCAUCAUCAAUGAGUUGAAGAUUUGUGUCAGCUGCUCUGCUUU